AAAAAGGCAAACCCUUGGUUUCCGUGUCCAACUUUGACUGUCCGUCUUAUAUGAAAUUUUUUUAUAAUUCGUAUUUUCAUUGUUGUUAGAUGAUAAAACAUAAUUAAUAUUUUAUGUGUAACUUGUCUUUUUAAUUUUUUUUAUAAUUUUUUCAAAUAAGACGGACGAUCAAACAUCGUAUACGGAAACCAGAGUUUGUCUUUUUU
MicroRNA precursor from Oryza sativa Japonica Group (Japanese rice), 206 nucleotides. It matches the Rfam family "MIR812 microRNA precursor family". Lineage: Eukaryota; Viridiplantae; Streptophyta; Magnoliopsida; Poales; Poaceae. The record is from Rfam.